UGGAUAGUAAUACUAAUGAAAUUUAACGGAUUUGGCGGCAAGAUAGCCACUUAGAGGAACCUGCCCUGUAAACGAUGAGCCACGAUUAACCUUACUUUUACUAGAAUUCAGUUUGUAUACCGCUGUUGUCAGUUAGUUUCUUUAGAAAACUUUCGUGCAUGAUAAAUUCAAGGACUUCAAGUAAAGGUGCAGCUUAUGUAAAAGAUAGAGGUGGGUUACAAUUAAAAGAGUAAUAUGGAUAAAGUUAGGAAAAAACUUUUGAAGGUGGAUUUAAUAGUAAAGUUUAAUAAGACUUGAUUAGAGCUCUAUCUUGUGUACACACCGCCCGUCGCUCGCGGGA
The sequence is a ribosomal RNA, 340 nucleotides long. It matches the Rfam family "Microsporidia small subunit ribosomal RNA", at positions 752 to 1210 of the family's 1311-position model.